AGGACGAACGCUGGCGGCGUGCUUCACACAUGCAAGUCGAGCGAGACUUCGGUCUAGCGGCGAACGGGUGAGUAACACGUGGGCAACCUGCCCUCAGCUCUGGGAUAACCCCGGGAAACCGGGGCUAAUACUGGAUACGACCACCGAAGACCUCUUCUGGUGGUGGAAAGAUUUAUCGGCUGAGGAUGGGCCCGCGGCCUAUCAGCUAGUUGGUGGGGUAAUGGCCUACCAAGGCGACGACGGGUA
This 246-nucleotide ribosomal RNA is filed under the name uncultured bacterium. RNAcentral's name for it is "partial small subunit ribosomal RNA". It matches the Rfam family "Bacterial small subunit ribosomal RNA", at positions 26 to 285 of the family's 1533-position model. The record is from RNAcentral.